GAGCACACUCUACCAGCAACACUGACAGCUCACCAGUGGGAGCUGAUAGAUAAGACUGCUCUCAUCCAUUGAAGAGCUGACCAGAAACGUGAACAGAAAGACUGCAACUGCACCUGAUGGGAUCCCUGCCAUAACAGAUGUGUUCUGUCCAGUGAAGGCAGUGGAGAAGCCCUACACUGAUCUUGAAACUGUGCCACGCUACUAGAAACCAGCUACAAGGAUGGGCAGCUGUUUUCGCAAAGUCAGCCAACCACUUGCUUCCAAAUGACCCUUAUCCAGAAGUAUCCGUGAGUGCCUCAUCAACAGAAACUAAAGUGGAGACCUACCUCUCAGAGAAAAACGCACACAUAAGAAAAGCCGACCAACUUCAGUACUGGGAAGAACAUCCUAAUCUGUUUCCCUCUAUGGCUGCUGUUGCGAUCCCAGUGUGCCCCCUGUAGCUCUGUGGACAGUUUUGGAUUUGUUUACAUCUCACCCCAACCGGUCGCGGCAGAUGGCCGCCCCUCCCUGAGCCUGGUUCUGCCAGAGGUUUCUUCCUGUCAAAAGGGAGUUUUUCCUUCCCACUGUCGCCAAAGUGCUUGCUCAUAGGGGGUCAUAUGAUUGUUGGGUUUAUCUAUAUACAUUAAUGCUUGUAUGCUUUUCAUUUAUACUUUUGCCUUACUCUUCAGUUCAUAAUAUAAAGUUACUUGAAUGGUUUCCUUUUCCUUU
Long non-coding RNA from Oreochromis aureus, 708 nucleotides. RefSeq lists it as uncharacterized. The record is from RefSeq and is a predicted model, not a curated record. The transcript is spliced from 3 exons. NCBI's taxonomy places the organism in Eukaryota, Metazoa, Chordata, Actinopteri, Cichliformes, Cichlidae.